AAAGAAAAUAACAAUGAUUCCCCUAGUAACUGCGAGUGAAGAGGGACAAGCUCAAAUUUUAAAUCUAUCGGGUCUUACCCGAUCGAGUUGUAAUUUGAAGAAGCGUUUUCUGCGUUUUUGGUCAGCCCAAGUCCUAUUGAAUGAGGCAUCAUGGAGGGUGAUAAUCCCGUCCGGUUGAUCAUUUGCGUUUUACGAUACGCUAUCUAAGAGUCAAGUUGUUUGGGAUUGCAGCUUAAAAUGGGAGGUAAAUUUCUCCUAAGGCUAAAUAACGGCGAGAGACCGAUAGCGAGCAAGUACCGUGAGGGAAAGAUGAAAAGAACUUUGAAAAGAGAGUUAAACAGUACGUGAAAUUGUUGAAAGGGAAACGAUUGAAGCCAGUCGUACCUUCGGGUAAUCAGCCUUUCGGGUGCGAU
Molecule: ribosomal RNA, 413 nt
Filed under: uncultured Glomus from Thlaspi rotundifolium
Lineage: Eukaryota; Fungi; Glomeromycota; Glomeromycetes; Glomerales; Glomeraceae
Description: LSU rRNA
Rfam family: Eukaryotic large subunit ribosomal RNA
Source: RNAcentral